GUCGUGCUUCUUCCAACUGUCAGACUGCUCCUCUCUCUUCUUUUGGCUGCUCCCAGGACUGAAGCAGGUGUGAGAGUUUACGUUUUCGGGCUGCUCUUCUAGGAAACAGGUCUGCCAUCAUCUCCAGCUGUGUCAGAAUCUGUCACUUUAAUGGAUUGAUCUCCGUGGAAAUCCUGAGUGCUAAAACAUCCAACAAGACUGAUUCUAGUUCUUGUCACCAUGGAGAUAUUACUUCGUGCCAAGUGUUUUCAGCGCCUAGCAGUUCCUGGUUCUGUGAGAGCAGUGCAUAAAGAUUACAGAAUAGUGACCCCUCAGAAUUUCUCCAACUAUGAAUCCAUAAAACAGGACUUCAAACUGGAGGUUCCAGAGUAUUUUAACUUUGCUAAAGAUGUCCUGGACAAAUGGACCAAUACGGAAAAGGCUGGAAAGAGACCUUCCAAUCCAGCCUUCUGGUGGGUAAGUGGAAAUGGAAAAGAAGUGAGAUGGAGUUUUGAAGAACUGGGAUCUUUGUCCAGGAAAUUUGCCAAUAUACUUGCAGAAGCCUGUGCUCUACAAAGGGGAGAUCGAGUAAUUGUGAUUCUGCCCAGGAUCCCAGAGUGGUGGCUUGCAAACAUAGCCUGUCUGAGAACAGGGACGGUUGUAAUUCCAGGAACCACUCAGCUGACCCAGAAAGACAUCCUCUACAGACUACAAUCUUCAAAAGCAAAGUGCAUUAUUACCAAUGAAGUUUUAGCCCCAGCAGUAGAUGCUGUUGCAUCUAAAUGUGAAAAUCUGCACUCCAAGCUAAUUGUGUCUCAGAAGCCCAGAGAGGGGUGGGGGAACCUCAAGGAGAUGAUGAAACAUGCCAGUGACAACCACACCUGUGUGAAGACAAAGCACAAUGAGAUGAUGGCCAUUUACUUCACCAGUGGAACAAGUGGACCUCCUAAAAUGACCGGACACACCCACAGCAGUUUUGGCUUAGGAUUAUCUGUAAAUGGAAGGUUCUGGCUGGAUUUAACACCUUCGGAUGUGAUGUGGAAUACCUCAGACACAGGCUGGGCAAAGUCUGCAUGGAGCAGUGUUUUUUCUCCAUGGAUCCAGGGAGCAUGUGUAUUUGCACAUUAUCUGCCACGUUUUGAGCCAACUUCCAUCUUGCAAACACUUUCCAAGUUUCCCAUCACAGUCUUCUGUUCAGCGCCAACUGCAUACCGAAUGCUUGUACAGAGUGAUAUGAGCAGCUAUAAGUUCAAAAGCUUAAAGCACUGCGUGAGUGCUGGGGAACCCAUCAACCCUGAAGUGACUGAACAGUGGAGAAACAGGACAGGUCUGGAUAUCUACGAAGGAUAUGGACAGACUGAAACGGUGCUAAUCUGUGGAAAUUUUAAGGGAAUGAAAGUGAAGCCUGGCUCAAUGGGAAAGCCUUCUCCUGCAUUUGACGUUAAGAUUUUAGAUGUAAAUGGCAAUGUUCUACCUCCUGGACAAGAAGGAGAUAUCGGCAUUCAAGUUCUCCCUACCCGACCAUUUGGCCUUUUUACUCAUUAUGUAGAUAAUCCUACAAAAACAGCUUCAACUCUACGAGGCAACUUCUAUAUCACUGGGGACAGAGGCUAUAUGGAUGAAGAUGGAUAUUUCUGGUUUGUUGCAAGAUCGGAUGAUAUCAUAUUAUCCUCUGGCUACCGAAUUGGACCUUUUGAGGUAGAAAGUGCCCUGAUUGAGCAUCCUGCGGUAGCAGAGUCAGCUGUUGUCAGCAGCCCAGACCCCAUCAGAGGAGAGGUAGUAAAGGCUUUUAUUGUUCUGAGUCCUGAUUAUAAGUCACAUGAUCAAGAACAACUGAAAAAGGAGAUUCAGGAGCAUGUAAAAAAAACUACAGCACCUUACAAAUAUCCCAGAAAGGUAGAAUUUAUUCAAGAGCUGCCAAAGACUAUCAGUGGGAAGAUAAAAAGAAAUGAACUGAGAAAGCAAGAAUGGGAAACAAUUUAAAUCCAUUCCAUUAAUUUCCACAGUAUUAUAGAUUCCAUGGUAUUUAUAAAACAAAGACUCUGUAGAAACCACAAGAUUAUGGAAAGGGCAACAGUAGAAGACUUUUCCAUGGUUUGGUCCAUUAUUAGAAACAACAAGUCUCUUACAUCUUCGGCCACACUUGCAUAAAGGAGGUGUCAUCCUCCCACUUUUCCAAGGCUCUCGUAGGUUAACUGUAGAAG
Molecule: RNA transcript, 2183 nt
Organism: Equus quagga
Lineage: Eukaryota; Metazoa; Chordata; Mammalia; Perissodactyla; Equidae
Gene: ACSM3
Gene name: acyl-CoA synthetase medium chain family member 3
Exons: 15
Source: RefSeq, a predicted model, not a curated record